AUGUGUGUGUGUAGACCCAUUGGUGUUUUACCUGGAGGCAUGUCUGGCUGACCCCAUCUUCGGCAAAAACGGAGCCAUGAUUCCGGAAAUAGAGUGGAUGAACCAGGUCCUGCUGACGGUGGAGAAGGUGAACUCCGGGAGCUUAAUCGAAAUCACCGUUUUCGGACAGCCCCGUGUCCAAAAUAGGGUGAGGAGCGUGCUCCUGAGCCUGGCAGCAAG
This is an RNA transcript of Myotis davidii, 219 nucleotides long. RefSeq lists it as uncharacterized. Lineage: Eukaryota; Metazoa; Chordata; Mammalia; Chiroptera; Vespertilionidae. The transcript has 3 exons. The record is from RefSeq and is a predicted model, not a curated record.